Molecule: transfer RNA, 66 nt
Filed under: Scincella reevesii
Lineage: Eukaryota; Metazoa; Chordata; Lepidosauria; Squamata; Scincidae
Description: tRNA-Ser
Source: RNAcentral
GAAGAGUGUUGUACACAAAGAACUGCUAAUUCCUUUGCCCUGAAGUUAAACUCCUCAGACCCUUCA